UACGAAGGGGACUAGCGUUGUUCGGAAUUACUGGGCGUAAAGCGCACGUAGGCGGCUUUGUAAGUCAGGGGUGAAAUCCCGGGGCUCAACCUCGGAACUGCCCUUGAUACUGCAAAUCUCGAGUCCGAUAGAGGCGGGUGGAAUUCCUAGUGUAGAGGUGAAAUUCGUAGAUAUUAGGAAGAACACCGGUGGCGAAGGCGGCCCACUGGAUCGGUACUGACGCUGAGGUGCGAAAGCGUGGGGAGCAAACAGG
This 253-nucleotide ribosomal RNA is filed under the name uncultured bacterium. RNAcentral's name for it is "partial 16S ribosomal RNA". It matches the Rfam family "Bacterial small subunit ribosomal RNA", at positions 524 to 776 of the family's 1533-position model. The record is from RNAcentral.